This 66-nucleotide transfer RNA is filed under the name Marmota monax (woodchuck). Its description in RNAcentral is "tRNA.Ala". It matches the Rfam family "tRNA". Rfam says of the family: Transfer RNA (tRNA) molecules are approximately 80 nucleotides in length. Lineage: Eukaryota; Metazoa; Chordata; Mammalia; Rodentia; Sciuridae. The record is from RNAcentral.
GUUGUGGCUCAGUGGUAAAGCACUUGCCUAGCAUGCAUGAGGCACUAGGUUCCACCCCUGGCAGCA